CCGAAGAAAAAAAGAAUCCAAUAAAUGCAGAGAUGGAGAGAUUCAAGUUAGGAAAUGCAGUACAAGAUUCAAGUACAACUAAGAAGUACAAAAAGCGCAUCUUGUGAAAUGCAAAUUGAGUAUUCCACGUAGCAGCCAAGGCAAUGAGAAUUAUGGUGUACCAGUAAUAUUAAUAUGGUAGUACAAUUACAAAGAGUUGCUGUAGUACAAUUUAGUGCUAUAUAUCAAGGCUUUCAUAUGCUGUAAUUGAAGUGAGCAUUUGGAAGCUUAAUACCAGACAGGAGAAACAUCAUUGAGUGCAGCGUUGAUGAAUUCCCCUACAUGACAUAUUUCUGUUGGUUAAUUCAUUACCAAUAUCCCUUCUUUAAAAAAAGAAGUAAACCUUUUUGGGAAUAGAUGGUUUUGGAUGAUUUCACCAGCGCUGCAUUCAAUCAUGUUUUUCACUUUUCUGGAACGGAAACCGCAAGAAGUUGUUUGGACAAGGUAAAUUGUCAAAAUGGAUUUCAGGAUACACUUGCUUUAUUUGUCGUCUUUAUGACAAAGGGAGCUGGAGGGAUUUUUCUUGGUUUCUGUUCGUUGCUUGUCUGCUUCCUUGAUUGUAGUCUGUAGAGCAUGUGCUCUUUUUUACUCAUUAAUCUAUUUUUACUUCAGAUUGGAAAUUGCAAAUUGCAAAUUUUAGACGAUGACUUGUUAACAUGUCAAUGAUAAUGACGAAUAUUGACCUGAUUUACCAGGAAAAAUAAAAAGCAAAAAGGGGUACAUUUGUUUCAAACUUAAUAAUUUCAUUUUCAUUUUAUUCUAUCUCUCUUUUUUCUUUUUCUCUUCCUGAAACAGAUAAUGCUUUUUUCAUUACUUGAAGAGAAUGAGCUACAUCCUGAAUAAGAAGGCGAACUAAAGCCUGAGGUACAAGAAGAGAAAAAGAAUAUCCUGAUUUGCCACUAUAAGCUCGCAUAUCUCUUGCAUUACUGAAGCAAGUUUUCCUGUCGGUGUUUAUUGCACACUUUGUGAUUAUUUUGCUGUCAUGUAAGCAUACUUACAACAACGGGAGAAGUUAAAAAAGGUUGCAAAAGGCAGGAGGGAUAUUCUUGGUUGUCUGUUUCCUUGAUUUUGUAGAUCAUUUGCUAUUUGUGUAACUCAUUGAUCUACCUUUUAAUUUGGAUUGCAAAUUGUAUAUUUUAGAUUGUGACCUUUUAAUCAAACUGUCCUACUAGUUAAUGAGCAAGAAUUUUUUAUAUUUUUGAGCUUA
Ricinus communis (castor bean) is the source of this 1246-nucleotide long non-coding RNA. RefSeq lists it as uncharacterized. The transcript is spliced from 2 exons. NCBI's taxonomy places the organism in Eukaryota, Viridiplantae, Streptophyta, Magnoliopsida, Malpighiales, Euphorbiaceae. The record is from RefSeq and is a predicted model, not a curated record.